This 497-nucleotide ribosomal RNA is filed under the name uncultured bacterium. Its description in RNAcentral is "partial 16S ribosomal RNA". It matches the Rfam family "Bacterial small subunit ribosomal RNA", at positions 28 to 507 of the family's 1533-position model. The record is from RNAcentral.
GACGAACGCUGGCGGCGUGCCUAAUACAUGCAAGUUGAGCGCUGAAGGUUGGUACUUGUACCAACUGGAUGAGCAGCGAACGGGUGAGUAACGCGUGGGGAAUCUGCCUUUGAGCGGGGGACAACAUUUGGAAACGAAUGCUAAUACCGCAUAAAAACUUUAAACACAAGUUUUAAGUUUGAAAGAUGCAAUUGCAUCACUCAAAGAUGAUCUCGCGUUGUAUUAGCUAGUUGGUGAGGUAAAGGCUCACCAAGGCGAUGAUACAUAGCCGAACUGGGAGGGGGAUCGGCCACAUUGGGAACGGGACACGGCCCAAAAUCCUUCGGGAGGCAGCAGGAGGGGAUCCUCGGGAAAGGACGAAAGGCUGAACGAGCAACGCCGCGUGAGUGAAGAAGGGUUUCGGAUCGUAAAACUCUGUUGGUAGAGAAGAAAGUUGGUGAGAGUGGAAAGCUCAUCAAGUGACGGUAACUACUCAGAAAGGGACGGCUAACUACGUG